RNAcentral lists this ribosomal RNA (497 nucleotides) under uncultured bacterium. RNAcentral's name for it is "partial 16S ribosomal RNA". It matches the Rfam family "Bacterial small subunit ribosomal RNA", at positions 28 to 507 of the family's 1533-position model. The record is from RNAcentral.
GAUGAACGCUGGCGGCGUGCCUAAUACAUGCAAGUCGAGCGAACAGACGAGGAGCUUGCUCCUUUGACGUUAGCGGCGGACGGGUGAGUAACACGUGGAUAACCUACCUAUAAGACUGGGAUAACUUCGGGAAACCGGAGCUAAUACCGGAUAAAAUGUUGAACCGCAUGGUUCAACAGUGAAAGACGGUCUUGCUGUCACUUAUAGAUGGAUCCGCGCCGCAUUAGCUAGUUGGUAAGGUAACGGCUUACCAAGGCAACGAUGCGUAGCCGACCUGAGAGGGUGAUCGGCCACACUGGAACUGAGACACGGUCCAGACUCCUACGGGAGGCAGCAGUAGGGAAUCUUCCGCAAUGGGCGAAAGCCUGACGGAGCAACGCCGCGUGAGUGAAGAAGGUCUUCGGAUCGUAAAACUCUGUUAUUAGGGAAGAACAAAUGUGUAAGUAACUAUGCACGUCUUGACGGUACCUAAUCAGAAAGCCACGGCUAACUACGUG